This is a long non-coding RNA of Ricinus communis (castor bean), 525 nucleotides long. RefSeq lists it as uncharacterized. NCBI's taxonomy places the organism in Eukaryota, Viridiplantae, Streptophyta, Magnoliopsida, Malpighiales, Euphorbiaceae. The record is from RefSeq and is a predicted model, not a curated record. The transcript is spliced from 2 exons.
AAAAGUAAUGUGGCCCAAAAUGAAAGCCUUUAGCAUGGUAUGCCUUGUUUUGGCUACAAUUCUUGUUCUCUCCUCCUCUUCAACUGUUGCUGGACGAUUACUUGGAACUUUCCAGCUCAAUGACUAUCAUUGCCCAAAAGGAGACAACCCAGCGACAGCGGAAUGCGACAAACUUCCAGAGAUCAUACCGCCUUGUACAGUUAAGGGUUGCUAGAGCAACACUACUUGAAAAUUAGAAUCUCCUGAUGCUUACUCUGUGUAAAAGUAAAACAAUCAUACAAUGGAAAGAAGGUUUUUAAUGUGAUGUUUGUUCAGUUUUUGUAAACAUGUUAUUAAAUAAUUUGCAGCCUUGUCUACAGUAACAGUAUCAUGUAAUCCUUUUGCUGGAGGUUACAUAGUUAAUACUACAAAAUUGUUAUCUUUGGCAUAUGCUGAAAGAGUAGGUUUUCUGCUUGCUCGUUUCAGAGUUUACUCCCUAGUAUAAUUCUUAUUUGAAAUGAAGAAUGACGAUUUAAUCUUUCAAAA